This 371-nucleotide ribosomal RNA is filed under the name uncultured organism. Its description in RNAcentral is "bacterial SSU rRNA". It matches the Rfam family "Bacterial small subunit ribosomal RNA", at positions 526 to 896 of the family's 1533-position model. The record is from RNAcentral.
CGGAGGGUGCAAACGUUGCUCGGAAUCAUUGGGCGUAAAGCGCGCGUAGGCGGCUGGACAAGUUGGAUGUGAAAGCCCUGGGCUCAACCUAGGAUGUGCAUUCAAAACUGUCCGGCUUGAAUCUCGGAGGGGGUCAGAGAAUUCCCGGUGUAGAGGUGAAAUUCGUAGAUAUCGGGAGGAACACCAGUGGCGAAGGCGCUGACCUGGACGAUGAUUGACGCUGAGGCGCGAAAGCGUGGGGAGCAAACAGGAUUAGAUACCCUGGUAGUCCACGCCGUAAACGAUGAGUGCUAGACGCUGGCGGAUUGACCCCGUCGGUGUCGAAGCUAACGCGUUAAGCACUCCGCCUGGGGAGUACGGUCGCAAGACUA